UACGGAGGAUGCGAGCGUUAUCCGGAUUUAUUGGGUUUAAAGGGUGCGGAGGCGGGCUUUUAAGUCAGCGGUAAAAAUUCGGGGCUCAACCCCGUCCGGCCGUUGAAACUGGGGGCCUUGAGUGGGCGAGAAGAAGGCGGAAUGCGUGGUGUAGCGGUGAAAUGCAUAGAUAUCACGCAGAACCCCGAUUGCGAAGGCAGCCUUCCGGCGCCCUACUGACGCUGAGGCACGAAAGUGCGGGGAUCGAACAGG
RNAcentral lists this ribosomal RNA (252 nucleotides) under uncultured bacterium. RNAcentral's name for it is "partial 16S ribosomal RNA". It matches the Rfam family "Bacterial small subunit ribosomal RNA", at positions 524 to 776 of the family's 1533-position model. The record is from RNAcentral.